AUUUUGCAACAAAUUUUUUUGCCUUACCAAUCAUGCGGUGUGGGUGCUCACCGGCGCUGGAGCUGAGGUUCUGCGAAUUCUUGUUUAGGGAUCCGAUGGAGAGCUCGGAUAUGGCAUCGCAGCCGUUGAGCGACAGGGUCACGCCGAAGCUCCUCCUCGGCUGCACGGAUUGCGUCACUGUCAUGCAGGGCGAGCCGCAGACUGGAUCCGGAAAGACAUAUACGACGGGUACCAAUUAUACUGGUGAAGCUGAUCGUGGAGGAAUAAUUGCACCUCUCAUGGAGACGAUAUUCAGGAAAUCUGAUGCGAUGAACCGUCAUACAGAGUUCUUAAUUAGGGUAUCCUUCAUCGAGAUAUUCAAGGAGGAAGUAUUUGAUUUACUUGAUGAUCAUGGGUCUGUUGCAAAAGUGGCAGCGCCUGCUAGAGUGCCUAUUCAGAUUC
Molecule: ribosomal RNA, 441 nt
Filed under: Triticum aestivum (bread wheat)
Lineage: Eukaryota; Viridiplantae; Streptophyta; Magnoliopsida; Poales; Poaceae
Description: partial small subunit ribosomal RNA
Source: RNAcentral